This 823-nucleotide ribosomal RNA is filed under the name Mycobacterium sp. RNAcentral describes it as "bacterial SSU rRNA". It matches the Rfam family "Bacterial small subunit ribosomal RNA", at positions 107 to 928 of the family's 1533-position model. Lineage: Bacteria; Bacillati; Actinomycetota; Actinomycetes; Mycobacteriales; Mycobacteriaceae. The record is from RNAcentral.
UGAGUAACACGUGGGCAAUCUGCCCUGCACUUCGGGAUAAGCCUGGGAAACUGGGUCUAAUACCGGAUAGGACCUUUAGACGCAUGUCUUUUGGUGGAAAGCUUUUGCGGUGUGGGAUGGGCCCGCGGCCUAUCAGCUUGUUGGUGGGGUGACGGCCUACCAAGGCGACGACGGGUAGCCGGCCUGAGAGGGUGUCCGGCCACACUGGGACUGAGAUACGGCCCAGACUCCUACGGGAGGCAGCAGUGGGGAAUAUUGCACAAUGGGCGCAAGCCUGAUGCAGCGACGCCGCGUGGGGGAUGACGGCCUUCGGGUUGUAAACCUCUUUCACCAUCGACGAAGGUUCGGGUUUUCUCGGAUUGACGGUAGGUGGAGAAGAAGCACCGGCCAACUACGUGCCAGCAGCCGCGGUAAUACGUAGGGUGCGAGCGUUGUCCGGAAUUACUGGGCGUAAAGAGCUCGUAGGUGGUUUGUCGCGUUGUUCGUGAAAUCUCACGGCUUAACUGUGAGCGUGCGGGCGAUACGGGCAGACUAGAGUACUGCAGGGGAGACUGGAAUUCCUGGUGUAGCGGUGGAAUGCGCAGAUAUCAGGAGGAACACCGGUGGCGAAGGCGGGUCUCUGGGCAGUAACUGACGCUGAGGAGCGAAAGCGUGGGGAGCGAACAGGAUUAGAUACCCUGGUAGUCCACGCCGUAAACGGUGGGUACUAGGUGUGGGUUUCCUUCCUUGGGAUCCGUGCCGUAGCUAACGCAUUAAGUACCCCGCCUGGGGAGUACGGCCGCAAGGCUAAAACUCAAAAGGAAUUGACGGGGGGCCCGCACAA